This 731-nucleotide long non-coding RNA is filed under the name Cinara cedri. The record is from RNAcentral. Lineage: Eukaryota; Metazoa; Arthropoda; Insecta; Hemiptera; Aphididae.
AAAAAACCGUAAAAAUUCGCUAUCGAACGAUACUCAAAUUUUGUCUAUAUUCUUCAUAAAAUUUUAAGUAUUUAGAAAAGAUCUCUAAAGAAUAUGCCAUUAUAUAGAAAAAAGUAUGCUCCUUCGUUUGGAAUGUUCAGAUGUUCGAAAAUCGGGUUAGAAAUAUCACUUUUUUUCAAUUUAUAAUUGAAAAACUGUAAAAAUUCGCUGUCGAACGAUACUAAAAUUUUGUCUAUAUUCUUCAUAAAAUUUUAACUAUUUGAAAAAGAUUUCUAACGAAUAUGCCAUUAUAUAGAAAAAAGUAUGCUCUUUCGUUUGGAAUAGUCAGAUGUUCGAAAAUCAGCUUAGAAAUAUUUAGAAAUAUCACUUUUUUUCAAUUUAUAAUUGAAAAAACCGUAAAAAUUCGCUAUCGAACGAUACUCAAAUUUUGUCUAUAUUCUUCAUAAAAUUUUAACUUUUUAGAAAAGAUCUCUAAAGAAUAAGCCAUUAUAUUGAAAAAAGUAUGCUCUUUCGUUUGGAAUAGAGAGAUGUUCGAAAAUCAGCUUAGAAAUAUCACUUUUUUCCAAAUUAAAAUUGAAAAAACCAUGAAAAUUCGCUAUCGAACGAUACUCAAAUUUUGUCUAUAUUCUUCAUAAAAUUUUAACUAUUUAGAAAAGAUCUCUAAAGAAUAUUAUGCCAUUAUAUAGAAAAAAGUAUGCUCUUUUGUUUGGAAUGGAGAGAUGUUCGAAAAU